This 4986-nucleotide ribosomal RNA is filed under the name Candidatus Buchananbacteria bacterium CG10_big_fil_rev_8_21_14_0_10_42_9. RNAcentral describes it as "23S ribosomal RNA". The stretch from base 1 to 2828 matches the Rfam family "Bacterial large subunit ribosomal RNA". The record is from RNAcentral. Lineage: Bacteria; Candidatus Buchananiibacteriota.
GUUACAUUAAGGGCGAAUGGUGGAUGCCUUGACAGCAAAAGACGAUGAAGGACGUAGCAGCCUGCGAUAAGCCUCGGCUAGGUGGCAAGCAACCUGUGAUCCGGGGAUUUCCGAAUGGGGGAACCCUCUUCAAUUUAAAUUGAAGAAUCAUAAGCUGAAUUCAUAGGCUUAUGAGGCAGACCUGGGGAAUUGAAACAUCUUAGUACCCAGAGGAAAAAAAAGAAACAAUAUUAGUUAUUAGUUCCAAAAGUCGCCUUCGGGUGGCUUAAAGAAUUAAUGGCUAAUCUCGAUUCCCUUAGUAGUGGCGAGCGAACAGGGAAAAGCCCAAACCAUUUUAGUGUUGUCGUUUUAGGCCGCCUUUGGCGGCUUAGGCGAUUUAAAGGUUCAAGCCGUUGCUGAAAUGGCGUAGUGAGAAGUUACUUUUGCGGAGCUUGAAGUCCGCAGCAGAGAAAAUUAUGGUUACAUCCCUAGCAGAAGCCGCUGGAAAGCGGCGCCAAAGAGGGUGAUGGCCCCGUACGCGAAAGGGGUAAUCGCUCUGUGGUAGCAUAUCUCAAGUACUUCAGGACUCGUGAAAUCCUGAACGAAUCAAGCGCGACUAUGCGCUAAGGCUAAAUACUUUUGCUGAUCGAUAGUGAACAAGUACCGUGAGGGAAAGGUGAAAAGUAUCCCGGUGAGGGAGAUGAAAUAGUAUCUGAAACCAUUUGCUUACAAAGAAUCAGAGCCCGCCUUCGCUUUUCGCUUCACGAAAAGCUCCGGUGGACAGGCCCAUUUAUCAGUUAUUUCUGAUGAGGCUUGUCCACCGUAGCUCAAGUGGAACGCAGAGCGAAGGUGGGUGAUGGUGUUCCUAUUGAAGAAUGAACCAACGAGUGUGUUGUGUGUUGCUUAAUCUAACCCUUAUGAGGGGUAGGUGUAGUGAAAGCGAGCCUUAACCGGCGUUUUUAGUUAAAUAGUUGCUGGUUCGUUUUUCGGACUAGCCAACUAUUUCUCUAAAGGGCAGCAUAUACACGACCCGAAACCAGGUGAGCUAUCCUUGGCCAGGGUGAAGCGUCCGUAACAAGACGUGGAAGCCCGAACCCACCAGCCGUGCAACACUGGGGGAUGAGUUAUGGAUAGAGGAGAAAUUCCAAUCGAACCUGGCAAUAGCUGGUUCUACCCGAAAUAGCUUUAGGGCUAGCCUUAAAUGUUUCCUGUUGGUGGUAGAGCACUGAAUGGGACAGGGUGGGGAAACCUUACCUGUCCUAACCAAACUCCGAAUGCCAAUAGGUUAAGUUUAAGAGUCAGACUAUGGGGGCUAAGCUCCAUCAGUCAAAAGGGCAACAGCCCAGAUCCACAUCUAAGGUCCCCAAAUCCAAGUUAAGUGUAAAAGGUGGUAUUGUGACUUAUACAACUAGGAGGUUGGCUUAGAAGCAGCCAUCCUUUAAAGAAAGCGUAAUAGCUCACUGGUCAAGUCGCUUUGCGCCGAAAAUUUAACGGGGCUAAACUUGGUACCGAAGAUUGGACCCUGUACCGUAUGGUACAGGGGGUAGGGUAGCAUUCUAUAUUCGUUUGAAGUCUAAGGCGCGAGCCAAGAUGGAGGAUAUAGAAGAGAGAAUGUUGGUAUAAGUAACAAAAACCUAGGUGAGAAUCCUAGGCACCGAAAACCUAAGGUUUCCUGGGCAAUGAUUUUCAACCCAGGGUUAGGCGAUCCUAAGCCGAGGCCGAAGGGCGUAGGCGAUGGAAGAGCAGGUUAAUAUUCCUGCCCUGUUUAUAUUUUCCGAUGGAGUGACGUUGUUUCAAGUUUUAAGCGUCCGUAUGGUUAUGACGUUGGCCUUUUUUGGAUUCUUCCUUGGCAAAUCCGGGAAGAACCAGUCCGAAGAAGGCGAGAAGGUUGCGGUUUUCCAAAGCCAACUUAAGAGGAGAAAUAAUCAAGAAAAACUUCUAGGUUUUCCGUCAGUUUUGCCACAAGCAAGGCCGGCGGUUUAAAAUAUAAGCAACCGUACCGUAAACCGACACAGGUAGGUGAGGCGAGAAGCCUAAGGUGUACGAGAGAACCUUCGUUAAGGAACUCGGCAAAAUAGCGGCCGUAAGUUCGCAAUAAGGCCUGCCUUCUACGUUCCUUACUGCGUUCGGAACUUCGAAGGCCAGGUCCCCCAUCUAUUUAUCUUUGGGGACCUGGCCUCCGUAGCUCGAGCGUAGCGAGGAGCGUAGGAGGCCGCAGCUAAAGAAUCCAAGCGACUGUUUAUCAAAAACACAGGUCCCUGCUCAAACCGUAAGGUGAGGUAUAGGGGCUGAUGCCUGGCCAGUGUCAGAACGUUAAGGGGAGAGGUGCAAGCCUUGAACUGAAGCGCUGAUGAACGCCGGCGAUAACUAUAAUCGUCCUAAGGUAGCGAAAUUCCUUGUCGGGUAAGUUCCGACCUGCACGAAUGGCAUAACGACUUGGAAACUGUCUCAACGAAGGACUCGGUGAAAUUGCAAGAUGAGUAAAGAUGCUCAUUACCCGUAGCUGGACGAAAAGACCCCGUGAAGCUUUACUACAACUUGGUAUUGGGUUAAGAACAUAGUUGUUCAGCAUAGGUGGAAGACUGUGAAGUCCCGUCGUCAGGCGGGAUGGAGUCGUCAGUGAGAUACCACCCUUUUGUGUUUUUAAUUCUAAUCCUGUCCCAUGAAACUGGGUAGGAGACAGUAUCUGGUGGGUAGUUUAACUGGGGCGGUUGCCUUAACAAAAUUAAUCUCCGUUAAUUUAAUGGGGCAGCGUGGUAGCAAUAUCGCGUCAAAACCGCCGUAUGGUCUAUAAAAAUAAUCUUAGCUUAUAUGCUGGAACCUCCGUUGGCAUCCUCAAUUACUUGAAUAAAGUGAAAAUAUUGAGGCGGUUUAUCCGAAUUAAACAGGAUAAUAACGGACAAUCAGCAGGGAAACGCUUCAAGCGUGCCCUCAACGACUAGACGCUAAGCCCCCACCGCUUCCGAGCAGUGGGGUGAAGAUAUAGUCUGAACUCUGGGGCGACCCAGAGAGUCUAAUUAAAUUAGACAUCAAGAAUCAUAUGAAAACAUUCAAGAUUUCGUCCGAUCAAAAACAAAUCAUCAUGGGUAAAUUAUUAGGCGAUGGACACUUGGAAACUGCCAAUGGCAAAACUUGGCGUUUAAAGAUAGAACAUUCUUUAAGCCAAAAAGUUUACGUCGAUUGGCUGUAUGACAAGUUGAAAAAUCUGGCGGCUAGCGAACCAAGAAUAAAACAACAGGCGGUUCAGGGCAAAGUUUAUAGCAAGUACUGGUUUAAUACCUGCUACAGCGGCAGUUUCAGAUUUUACAGCCAGAAAUUUUAUGACCACGGUCGUAAAAUAGCUCCCAGGCAAAUCAAGCGCUGGCUGACACCCUUGGCUUUAGCCGUUUGGUACAUGGAUGACGGCUCCAGAAAAUCCCAUCAGCAUCGCGCUAAGAUAAUUAACACUCAAAGUUUUGAUCGGUUUAGUUUGAAUCUUUUACAGAGCGCUUUAAAACUUAAUUUCGGCAUAGAAACUAAGUUAAGAAAGCAAAGAGAGGGCUGGCAAAUCUAUAUUUUCGGCCGUGAAGCCGAAAAAUUCGCCAAAGUUAUAGGCAAAUAUGUUCUGCCAAACUUCUCUUACAAACUUGAUUAACACAAUGCCCAAAAUGUAACGGAGGCGUUUACUAAGGUUGGCUAGCUCCCGAUGGAAACGGGACGUGGUCGUGCAAACGCAUAAGCCAGCUUUACUGCAAGGGCUACAACCCGCGCAGUUGCGAAAGCAGAAGUUAGUGAUCCGACCGUAUUACCCUGAACCUUUAUGGUUUAGGGUCGAAGUAGGACGGCGGAAGCUCAACGGAUAAAAGUUACUCCGGGGAUAACAGGCUGAUCGCGCCCAAGCGUCCACAGCGACGGCGCGGUUUGGCACCUCGAUGUCGGCCCAUCGCAUCCUGGGGGUGAAGAAGCUCCCAAGGGUUUGGCUGUUCGCCAAUUAAAGCGGUACGCGAGCUGGGUUCAGAACGUAAAUUACAUUGCGUUCUAUCACAGAGAUGUGAUACAAGAAAUCUGACUAAAAUCGGUGAAACCCUACUUGGAUUUCGAACUGUCCAAGAGGGCAAUACCGAGGGAAGAUUAGAUUUAUGUCUAACGAAGAAUUAGCUUAUAUUGCCGGUUUCCUUGAUGGAGACGGCUGCAUUAUGGCGCAGUUAGUUUACCGUAAAGAUUACAUUUACGGUUAUCAGGUAAGAACAAGCAUUGUUUUUUACCAAAAAUCGAUCCAUCAAGGCAUCCUUCACUGGCUGAAGAAUAAGCUGAACCAUGGUUAUAUCAGGCUCCGCAAUGAUGGAAUGGCGGAAUAUACCAUAGUUGGAUUUAAAGAAGUAAAAAGCGUGUUAUUGUUAAUUUAUCCAUUCCUUCGUUUAAAAAAGUCUUUAGCGGAAUUAAUGAUAAAAUUGAUCGAUUCUCAUCCUAAAAAAAUGAGCCCCAAAGAACUUAUUAGAUUAAGUGUCUUAGUCGAUCAAACCGCCACUUAUAAUUAUUCAAAAAAAGAAUAAAUACAAGCGAAGUAAUAAAAGAUUUUCUCGAACAUAAAUCUUUUCCCCGUAGAGACUGAAUCUUGCAGAAGAACAAGAUGAGAUAGCCUUUUUAAAAGGGUUAUAAGACGUCAGCCCCUAAUUCCGUCAAAGACGGAAAAGGGUGAAGGUAUAGUCCAUGCCAUUAGUAAUAAUGGAAUAACAUGCGUGAGACAGUUCGGUCUCCUAUCCGCUACGGGCGUUGAAUCUUGAGUAGUCCCUUCCCUAGUACGAGAGGACCGGGAAGGACGAACCUCUGGUGUAUCGGUUGCAGUACCAACUGCAUUGCCGAGUAGCUACGUUCGGUUUGGAUAAACGCUGAAAGCAUCUAAGCGUGAAGCCGUCUACAAGAUUAGGAUUCAUUAUUAGGCCUCUUGGAGAUUACAAGAUUGAUAGGCCGUAGGUGUAAGGCCCGCAAGGGUUUUAGCCGAGCGGUACUAAUAGGCCAAGUAACCAC